AAGUAUCUCCGAAUCCUCACGGAGAAGAUAGGAGUAACGGCUGGUUGGCACAGCCAUCGACGUUCUUGUUUGACAAGGAAACUGGUGUGUUCGCACCUCAAGAACACGUAACGUCGUAAACCACAAUAUCCCAACGGCGGUCGGGAAUCAUCGCCCUUCAGGGCCGGGA
Molecule: non-coding RNA, 169 nt
Filed under: Halobaculum gomorrense
Lineage: Archaea; Methanobacteriati; Methanobacteriota; Halobacteria; Halobacteriales; Haloferacaceae
Description: Sense overlapping transcript RNA 0042 (sot)
Rfam family: Sense overlapping transcript RNA 0042 (sot)
About the family: It is associated with IS1341-type transposase (tnpB) genes, at the 3'-end in H. salinarum NRC-1. The tetraloop structural motif may be functional.
Source: Rfam by way of RNAcentral